Molecule: ribosomal RNA, 726 nt
Filed under: Cetraria sepincola
Lineage: Eukaryota; Fungi; Ascomycota; Lecanoromycetes; Lecanorales; Parmeliaceae
Description: SSU rRNA
Rfam family: Bacterial small subunit ribosomal RNA
Source: RNAcentral
GCAGUCGCGGUAAUACGUANAAGACUAGUGUUAUUCAUGUUUAAUCGGUUUAAAGGGUACCUAGACGGUAAAUCAAGCCUAAAAGGAAAUAAAUGAAGGGACUAAUUUACUAGAGUUACUUAUGAGGGGGUAUUAAAGUACUGCUGGUGUANAGAUGAAAUUCUGUCAUACCUCUUUUCAAUAGAAAAAUAAUGGCACAGGUAUAGGCGAAAGCAUCCCCUUAUGUGAUAACUGACGUUGAGGGACGAAGGCUUUGUGUAGCGAACAGGAUUAGAUACCCCAGUAGUCAAAGCAGAAAAUGAUGAAUGUCAUAGAUUAGAUAUAUAAGUUUAUUCUAUAAAUGAAAGUGUAAGCAUUCCACCUCAAGAGUAAUUUGGCAACAUUGGAACUGAAAUCAUUAGACCGUUUCUGAAACCAGUAGUGAAGUAUGUUGUUUAAUUUGAUGAUCCGCAAAAAACCUUACCACAAUUUGAAUAUUUAUAUCUUUUAUUGUUUUUUUUACUUUAUUCUAAUUUUCUACUUAAAAGAAAACAAGAAAAAAGAGGCAAGAAGAUAUAUUUACAAGCGUUGCACGGCUGUCUUCAGUUAAUGUCGCGAGACUAUGGUUAGUUCCAUUAAAUUAACGUAAACCCUUACUUUAUUUUUAUAUAGAGUAGUUCCCCGCUAUAUUGGAUAUGAUAACAGGGACUAAGACAAGUCAUCAUGGCCUAAAUAUUGUGGGCUAUA